CAACCCUCAGGCUCCCGCGCCUGGCGUUGGGGAUCGGCCUUCACCGGCCGGCCCCGAAAUACAGUGGCGGCCCCGCCGUAGACCUCCUCUGCGUAGUAGCACACACCUCGCAGCCUGGGAGCGCGGCGGCGGCCACGCCGGAAAACCCCCGACUUCUGAA
This 160-nucleotide unclassified non-coding RNA is filed under the name Striaticonidium brachysporum. RNAcentral describes it as "partial internal transcribed spacer 2". Lineage: Eukaryota; Fungi; Ascomycota; Sordariomycetes; Hypocreales; Stachybotryaceae. RNAcentral also lists the same sequence under 1 other name. The record is from RNAcentral.